This is a non-coding RNA of Podarcis lilfordi (Lilford's wall lizard), 65 nucleotides long. The record is from the annotation of a GenBank genome assembly. NCBI's taxonomy places the organism in Eukaryota, Metazoa, Chordata, Lepidosauria, Squamata, Lacertidae.
GGACUUGCUCAGAGUGGUAGAGCUUUGCAUGCAGAAGGUCCCAGGUUCAAUCCCUGGCAUCUCCA